GAUAAGUUGAGGUGUUAAAGUUAGUAUC
This 28-nucleotide small RNA is filed under the name Bombyx mori (domestic silkworm). RNAcentral's name for it is "ovarian small RNA-16063". The record is from RNAcentral. Lineage: Eukaryota; Metazoa; Arthropoda; Insecta; Lepidoptera; Bombycidae.